Fukomys damarensis (Damara mole-rat) is the source of this 327-nucleotide long non-coding RNA. RefSeq lists it as uncharacterized. The transcript is spliced from 3 exons. The record is from RefSeq and is a predicted model, not a curated record. NCBI's taxonomy places the organism in Eukaryota, Metazoa, Chordata, Mammalia, Rodentia, Bathyergidae.
UCCAGAGAAGAGGGAGUUCUGAGAGAAGUGAAUAAUGAGAGGGAGAAGGCCAAGACCCUAAAAACCAGGCAGAAGAAGCAUGAUAGGGUCUGGGACUGCCUGGUGAUGCCUGUCUACCAGCCAUGUCUGGAAGUUGGAGAGAUCACAUGGCCACAAGUGGGUGUCCUGCCUUGGACUUGUCUUGAUAAGGAAUGACCUCCAUUGUCUCCCUGGAAGACAGUCCAAGGUGGCGUUAACUCUGGGGGCAGAUCAUUCAUCUGUGCUGCUGCCUCACUCAGAAUACAACAGUCCAUGACACAGAUUGCAGAUUUCUUUCAUACCACCAUG